GGGGUCCUAUGGGGUCCGAUGGGGUCCUAUGGGGUCCCUUAUGGGGUCUUAUGGGGUUUCUAUGGGGUGUUAUGCGGUCCUAUGGGGUUUUGUGGGGUCUUAUGGGGUGUUAUGGGGUCCUAUGGGGUCCUAUGGGGUGUUACGGGGUCCUAUUGGGUCCUAUGGGGUCCUAUGGGUCCCUAUGUGGUUCUAUGGGGCUCUAUGGGUCUCUAUGGGGUCUUAUGGGGUCUUAUGGGGUCUUAUGGGGUCUCUAUGGGGUUUCUACGGGGUGUUAUGGGGUCCUAUGGGGUGUUAUGGGGUCCUAUGGGCCUCUAUGAGGUCCUAUGGGGUCCUAUGGGAUCCUAGGGGUCUCAAUGGGUCUCUAUGGGCUUUUAUGGGAUCUUAUGGGUUCUUAUGGGUCUCUAUGGGGUGUUAUGGGGUCCUAUGGGGUGUUAUGGGGUCCUAUAGGUCUCUAUCGGGUCCUAUGGGGUCCUAUGGGGUCUUAUGGGGUCUUAUGGGGUCCUAUGGGGUCCUAUGGGGUCUUAUGGGGUCUUAUGGGGUCUUAUGGGGGCUUAUGGGGUCUUAUGGGGUCUCUAUGGGGUCUCUAUGGGGUGUUAUGGGGUCCUUUGGGGUCUUAUGGGGUCUCAAUGGGGUGUUAUGGGGUCUCUAUGGGUCUCUAUGGGGUUGUAGGGGGUCUUAGGGGUCCCUAUGGGGUCCCUAUGGGGUCUUUAUGGGAUCUCUGUGGGUCUUUAUGGGUCUCUAUGGGGUCUUGUUGUGUCCUAUGGGUCCCUAUGGGUCUGUAUGGGGUUUUAUGGGGUCUCUAUGGGUCUCUAUGGGGUCCUUUGGGGUCCUAUGGGUCUCUAUGGGUUUCUAUGGGUUCCUAUGGGGUCUCAAUGGGUCUCUAUGGGUCUCUAUGGGGUCUUGUUGUGUGCUAUGGGUCCCUAUUGGUCUCAAUGCGGUGUUAUGGGGUCUCUAUGGGUCUCUAUGGGGUCGUAGGGGUCUUGGGGUCUCUAUGGGGUCUCUAUGGGUCUCUGUGGGUCCCUAUGGGUCUCUGUGGGUCCUUAUGGGGUUGUAUGAGUCUCUAUGGGUCUCCAUGGGUCUCUAUGGAUCUCUAUGGGGUCUUGUGGGUCUCUAUGGGGUGUUAUGGGGUCUCUAUGGGUUGCUAUGGGGUUUUAUGGGGUCUCUAUUGGGUCUCUAUGGAUCUGUAUGGGUCCCUAUAGGGUCCCUAUGGGGUCCCUAUGGGGUCUUUAUGGGAUCUCUAUGGGUCUCUAUGGGGUCUUGUUGUGUCCUAUGGGUCCCUAUUGGUCUCUAUGGGNNNNNNNNNNNNNNNNNNNNNNNNNGGGGUCUCUAUGGGUCUCUAUGGAGUGUUAUGGGGUUCCUAUGGGGUCUCUAUGGGGUCCUGUGGGUUUCUAUGGGGUUUUAUGGGGUCUCUAUGGGGUCUCUAUGGGUCUCUAUGGGUCUCUAUGGGGUUUUAUGGGGUCUCUAUGGGUCUCUAUGCGUCUCUAUGGGUUCUUAUAGGGUCUCUAUGGGUCUCUAUGGGGUCCUAUGGUGUCUUAUGGGGUCCUUAUGGGGUCUCUAUGGGGUCCUAUGGGGUCCUAUGGGGUGUUAUGGGGUUUCUAUGGGGUCCUAUGGGGCUUUAUGGGAUCUCUAUGGGUCCCUAUGGGUCCCUAUGGGUCUCUAUGGGUCUCUGUGUCUCCAUGGGUCCCUAUGGGUCUCUAUGGGUCCCUAUGGACUAAUUAAUCCCGGCUCUAAUUAG
This 1735-nucleotide long non-coding RNA is filed under the name Phasianus colchicus (ring-necked pheasant). RNAcentral's name for it is "lncRNA (ENSPCLG00000016927.1)". The record is from RNAcentral. Lineage: Eukaryota; Metazoa; Chordata; Aves; Galliformes; Phasianidae.